GCCCGGGUGGCGAAAUUGGUAUACGCGCACGACUUAAAAUCGUGUGGAGCAAUCCGUGCGGGUUCGACCCCCGCCCUGGGCA
This 82-nucleotide transfer RNA is filed under the name bacterium CG10_49_38. RNAcentral's name for it is "tRNA-Leu". It matches the Rfam family "tRNA". Rfam says of the family: Transfer RNA (tRNA) molecules are approximately 80 nucleotides in length. Their secondary structure includes four short double-helical elements and three loops (D, anti-codon, and T loops). Further hydrogen bonds mediate the characteristic L-shaped molecular structure. tRNAs have two regions of fundamental functional importance: the anti-codon, which is responsible for specific mRNA codon recognition, and the 3' end, to which the tRNAs corresponding amino acid is attached (by aminoacyl-tRNA synthetases). tRNAs cope with the degeneracy of the genetic code in two manners: having more than one tRNA (with a specific anti-codon) for a particular amino acid; and 'wobble' base-pairing, i.e. permitting non-standard base-pairing at the 3rd anti-codon position. The record is from RNAcentral. RNAcentral also lists the same sequence under 2 other names.